CUUCACCGAGCCCAGCAGCAGCGGACUCCCCGCCUCGCGGUCCUGGCCGUAGGCGGCGAGCAGGGCCUGCGCCUC
Molecule: antisense RNA, 75 nt
Filed under: Streptomyces natalensis ATCC 27448
Lineage: Bacteria; Bacillati; Actinomycetota; Actinomycetes; Kitasatosporales; Streptomycetaceae
Description: ASpks sRNA
Rfam family: ASpks TB sRNA
Source: RNAcentral